RNAcentral lists this ribosomal RNA (468 nucleotides) under uncultured bacterium. RNAcentral describes it as "partial 16S ribosomal RNA". It matches the Rfam family "Bacterial small subunit ribosomal RNA", at positions 28 to 507 of the family's 1533-position model. The record is from RNAcentral.
GACGAACGCUGGCGGCGUGCUUAACACAUGCAAGUCGAACGGAAAGGCCCUGCUUUUGUGGGGUGCUCGAGUGGCGAACGGGUGAGUAACACGUGAGUAACCUGCCCUUGACUUUGGGAUAACUUCAGGAAACUGGGGCUAAUACCGGAUAGGAGCUCCUGCUGCAUGGUGGGGGUUGGAAAGUUUCGGCGGUUGGGGAUGGACUCGCGGCUUAUCAGCUUGUUGGUGGGGUAGUGGCUUACCAAGGCUUUGACGGGUAGCCGGCCUGAGAGGGUGGCCGGCGACAUUAGGACUGAGAUACGGCCCAGACUCCUACGUGAGGCAGCAGGGGGGAAUAUUGCACAAUGAGCGGAAGCGAGAGACAGCAACGCUGCGUGCGGGAAGACGGCCUUCGGGUUGUAAACCGCUUUCGCCUGAGACGAAGCGUGAAUGACGGUAAUGGGUAAAGAAGCACCGGCUAACUACGUG